Molecule: long non-coding RNA, 1995 nt
Organism: Salvelinus fontinalis (brook trout)
Lineage: Eukaryota; Metazoa; Chordata; Actinopteri; Salmoniformes; Salmonidae
Exons: 2
Source: RefSeq, a predicted model, not a curated record
GUUAGAGAAAAGGCAACCAUUUAGAAAUAGCAAUUUUACGCUAUCACAGUCUUUCAAAUGUGGGAUAUUAAAAAUGCACUUUCAUUGCCGUGGAUCCACCCAUAAUCCAUAGAUAGAUGUAUUUACUGUUGAAUAAACUUGGCAGAGAAGGCAUCCCUUGUCCCAGCUCUGUUGUUUUGGGCCUCGACUACAUCAUCACACAAAUUAGAGAAAAUAAAUGCAAUUAGUUGCUGUAUACGGGCCACUGGAAGGGAAUAGUUUUUGACAAUGUUGUGGCGCCAAAACUCUUUAUUGUAAACUGUGGUCCUGUAUAACAAUUUGUUUUUCCUUAAAAUGAAUUUAAGUGAAGCAUAUGCAUUGACUGUAUGUAGCCCUACUGUUGCAGACUGUUGUGAUGAAAAAUAUAUAUCUCAACUGUACUCCAUGGUUGUUAUUAGUGACACAAUAUUAUACAGUAUAGGAUCAAUAUUAGCAAUGAAGCAAGAACAUCUCCAAGGCAUUCCCAGAUUAGCCUUUAUUGUGUUGCUCUGUUCUUGUUAUGUUUAAUGUUCGUCUUCCUCUACUCUCUGUUACAGCACCCUUGGUGGAUUCCAGCCCGAGACACAGCAGUUCAGCCAUGCUGAUGCUCCUGUCAGUACUAUUCCUGGGUUUCUUAUCUACAAAUUCAAGAGGGCGAAUUGGAAAUGCCUGCGAGAGCACGAGGGAGAUUCCAAACUGUACUAGCGUGUAAAGCCGAGGAAGGAAUGCAACAAAUGUGUACAUACAAAGUAUUGCCGUUUUAAGAGUUCCCUCUUUCUUUGGUUUCUUUUGACGUUUCUCAUACACAACCCCAAUGUUAAUAGUUUUCUAAGGGCCUGAUUUAUACUGAUGUGCAUGGGUGUCUUGCUUGAUAGCAUCUAUGCGGCAAAUCUGAAAUCCACUCAACGAGACAAGUUUCAAUUACAAGUAUGAGCUACUUAUGUCACGCUUCUACUAAAGUUGAACCCAGAAGCAGACCAGGACAAGGAGAGUAAGACGAAGGUGAGUAUUUAUUUACAAGUUUGAAUGUAGUGAUAGAAAAAUCCAAGUGACGGAGCGGGCAGCGGAGGUGAGUUGAUGGGAUUGAAUAGGCAGAUCCAAUGAAGUAACUGAAGUCACCGACGACCAGGUAGGGAUGAGAUGAGUGUUUCGGGUGAAUGACUGUAGACAGAAAAAACGGAGGUGAGUUCAAGGCAAGCAAGACGUACAAAACAGCAAAACAAACUCUAUCAAACUGGAGGCUGAUACACUGGCACAACAUACUGUUCAUGGCUAACGAUCCUGCAGGGAAUGGAUGUCAGGUCAGCGCUUAUGAAGUGGAGGGGUGAUGAUCAGGACCAGGUGUGCAGAUAGCUGAUGGGAUACAGGUGCAGGUACUCAGAGAUACAGGGUGCGUUCCAGGACACCGGAAAAAACACUCGAGGACAGAACACAGGCAAAAACAGACUCAGGAAGCGGGAUUCGUGACAAUUUAGGCCUUGGAUUAAAAAGAAACGUUACAUUUUUAGUCCGUAAUUGUCUUAUUUCAUGGACUUUUAUCAAAGCCUUUAUCAAAACCUACGAAGAGAGUUUUGUACAUUUCUUAAUGUUUUACUUUUCAUGAGGUAUAAGCGUUUUUGCCUGUAUGGGCCAGCUUGUCUAGGUCUCCGGGUCUAACAGGGAAUAUUAUUGAAAAUGUACCAUAUUAUCUUUAGAUAUCAGUUAUCGCUCUGUAUAUACUAUAUGUAGGUUCACUUUUCACACACUUCGAUUAAAAGUACAAUGCCGAACACAGGGGGUCUAGUCAUGGCCUGUUAUCAGUUCUUAAAAGUGUGUUAAAAACAAGAUGUUACUUAUAGAAAGAGUCCAACUUUGUUUUUAAUGAGGUCUUGUGCAUGUUAUUAUUAAUGACAGAUGUAUGUGUUGUAGAUAAGCAAGUGUUGUAAAUAGUUAUUUUCUAUUAAUUAAAAGAGCUCAGUCACUUUUACAUACAGUAUA